AGUGGCGGACGGGUGAGUAACGCGUGAGCAAUCUGCCUCUGUGUGCGGGAUAACAACCGGAAACAGUUGCUAAUACCGCAUAAUGUAUACGGGCCGCAUGACCUGUAUACCAAAGGUUUACUGCACAGAGAUGAGCUUGCGUCCCAUUAGCUAGUUGGUGAGGUAACGGCCCACCAAGGCGACGAUGGGUAGCCGGACUGAGAGGUUGAACGGCCACAUUGGAACUGAGAAACGGUCCAGACUCCUACGGGAGGCAGCAGUGGGGAAUAUUGGGCAAUGGGCGAAAGCCUGACCCAGCGACGCCGCGUGAGGGAAGAAGGCCUUCGGGUUGUAAACUUCUUUUAGCAGGGACGAAGAACGUGACGGUACCUGCAGAAAAAGCAACGGCUAACUACGUGCCAGCAGCCGCGGUAAUACGUAGGGGGCAAGCGUUAUCCGGAAUUAUUGGGCGUAAAGAGUGCGUAGGUGGUUACCUAAGCAGGGGGUGAAAGGCAGUGGCUCAACCAUUGUUAGCCCCCUGAACUGGGCUACUUGAGUGCAGGAGAGGAAAGCGGAAUUCCUAGUGUAGCGGUGAAAUGCGUAGAUAUUAGGAGGAACACCAGUGGCGAAGGCGGCCUUCUGGACUGUAACUGACACUGAGGCACGAAAGUGUGGGGAGCAAACAGGAUUAGAUACCCUGGUAGUCCACACCGUAAACGAUGAGCACUAGGUGUCGGGGUCGCAAGACUUCGGUGCCGCAGUUAACGCAUUAAGUGCUCCGCCUGGGGAGUACGUACGCAAGUAUGAAACUCAAAGGAAUUGACGGGGACCCGCACAAGCAGCGGAGCAUGUGGUUUAAUUCGAAGCAACGCGAAGAACCUUACCAGGACUUGACAUCCUUCUGACCGGCCUUUAACCGGGCCUUUCCUUCGGGACAGAAGUGACAGGUGGUGCAUGGUUGUCGUCAGCUCGUGUCGUGAGAUGUUGGGUUAGGUCCCGCAACGAGCGCAACCCUUGUCAUUAGUUGCCAUCAUUAAGUUGGGCACUCUAGUGAGACUGCCGGGGACAACUCGGAGGAAGGUGGGGAUGACGUCAAAUCAUCAUGCCCCUUAUGUUCUGGGCUACACACGUAAUACAAUGGUGGUAAACAGAGGGAAGCAAGACUGCGAAGUGGAGCAAAUCCCUAAAAGCCAUCUCAGUUCGGAUUGCAGGCUGCAACUCGCCUGCAUGAAGCUGGAAUCGCUAGUAAUCGCGGAUCAGCAUGCCGCGGUGAAUACGUAACCGGGCCUUGUACUCACCGCCCGUCA
RNAcentral lists this ribosomal RNA (1286 nucleotides) under uncultured bacterium. Its description in RNAcentral is "partial 16S ribosomal RNA". It matches the Rfam family "Bacterial small subunit ribosomal RNA", at positions 94 to 1399 of the family's 1533-position model. The record is from RNAcentral.